RNAcentral lists this ribosomal RNA (460 nucleotides) under uncultured bacterium. RNAcentral describes it as "partial 16S ribosomal RNA". It matches the Rfam family "Bacterial small subunit ribosomal RNA", at positions 338 to 795 of the family's 1533-position model. The record is from RNAcentral.
CCUACGGGUGGCUGCAGUGAGGAAUAUUGGUCAAUGGGCGCGAGCCUGAACCAGCCAUGUAGCGUGAAGGAUGACUGCCCUAUGGGUUGUAAACUUCUUUUGUCAAGGAAUAAAGUGAGGUACGUGUACCUUUUUGUAUGUAUCUUAUGAAUAAGGAUCGGCUAACUCCGUGCCAGCAGCCGCGGUAAUACGGAGGAUCCGAGCGUUAUCCGGAAUUAUUGGGUUUAAAGGGAGCGUAGAUGGGUUGGUAAGUCAGUUGUGAAAGUGUGCGGCUCAACCGUAAAAUUGCAAUUGAUACUGGCAGUCUUGAGUACAGGUGAGGUAAGCGGAAUUCGUGGUGUAGCGGUGAAAUGCUUAGAUAUCACGAAGAACGCCGAUUGCGAAGGCAGCUUACUAAACUGCAACUGACAUUGAUGCUCGAAAGUGUGGGUAUCAAACAGGAUUAGAUACCCUUGUAGUC